UACGGAGGGUGCGAGCGUUGUCCGGAAUCAUUGGGCGUAAAGGGCGCGUAGGUGGCCCGGUCAGUUCGUGGUGAAAGCGCGGGGCUCAACCCUGCGUCGGCCAUGAAUACUGCCGCGGCUGGAGCACUGUAGAGGCAGGCGGAAUUCCGGGUGUAGCGGUGAAAUGCGCAGAUAUCAGGAGGAACACCAAUUGCGAAGGCAGCUCGCUGGGACGUUACUGACGCUGAGACGCGAAAGCGUGGGGAGCAAACAGG
RNAcentral lists this ribosomal RNA (254 nucleotides) under uncultured bacterium. RNAcentral's name for it is "partial 16S ribosomal RNA". It matches the Rfam family "Bacterial small subunit ribosomal RNA", at positions 524 to 776 of the family's 1533-position model. The record is from RNAcentral.